AGUGAACGCUGGCGGUAGGCCUAACACAUGCAAGUCGAACGGCAGCACAGUAAGAGCUUGCUCUUACGGGUGGCGAGUGGCGGACGGGUGAGGAAUACAUCGGAAUCUACUUUUUCGUGGGGGAUAACGUAGGGAAACUUACGCUAAUACCGCAUACGACCUACGGGUGAAAGCAGGGGAUCUUCGGACCUUGCGCGAUUGAAUGAGCCGAUGUCGGAUUAGCUAGUUGGCGGGGUAAAGGCCCACCAAGGCGACGAUGCGUAGCUGGUCUGAGGGGAUGAUCAGCCACACUGGAACUGAGACACGGUCCAGACUCCUACGGGAGGCAGCAGUGGGGAAUAUUGGACAAUGGGCGCAAGCCUGCUCCAGCCAUACCGCGUGGGUGAAGAAGGCCUUCGGGUUGUAAAGCCCUUUUGUUGGGAAAGAAAAGCAGCAGGUUAAUACCCCGCUGUUCUGACGGUACCCAAAGAAUAAGCACCGGCUAACUUCGUG
This 492-nucleotide ribosomal RNA is filed under the name uncultured bacterium. Its description in RNAcentral is "partial 16S ribosomal RNA". It matches the Rfam family "Bacterial small subunit ribosomal RNA", at positions 29 to 507 of the family's 1533-position model. The record is from RNAcentral.